CCCCUACGGGGGCAGCAGUGAGGAAUAUUGGUCAAUGGGCGGAAGCCUGAACCAGCCAAGCCGCGUGAAGGAAGAAGGCGCCAGGCGUCGUAAACUUCUUUUGUCGGGGAACAAAGGGCGCCACGCGUGGCGUUGUGAGUGUACCCGAAGAAAAAGCAUCGGCUAACUCCGUGCCAGCAGCCGCGGUAAUACGGAGGAUGCGAGCGUUAUCCGGAUUUAUUGGGUUUAAAGGGUGCGCAGGCGGAAGAUCAAGUCAGCGGUAAAAUUGAGAGGCUCAACCUCUUCGAGCCGUUGAAACUGGUUUU
This 305-nucleotide ribosomal RNA is filed under the name uncultured bacterium. RNAcentral's name for it is "bacterial SSU rRNA". It matches the Rfam family "Bacterial small subunit ribosomal RNA", at positions 336 to 640 of the family's 1533-position model. The record is from RNAcentral.